CAAGCCCCGCCUCGACACACAUUGCAUUGAGGUCGCUGAAGAGCACCGUAUAUUGCGGGCACGGCUCGCCGUCGCUGCCCACGGUCAGUGUGCAUGGGACGUGACUGCGUGCGCCCGCCUCGUGUGCGUCGUCGAUGCUCGCAGCGUCAAACAUUGCGCGACGCGGACGGCACUCUGCCUCCUUCUCCUCGCCCUCUGCCGCGGCCGGGGUCGCAGUGCCGGUGUCGAUCUCGGCGCGGCGGGCCUUCUUCAGAUCCCACAGGCGCGCCGCAUCGGCCACGAUGCCCAGGAAGACCCCGCUGGGACGGAGCGCGCGCCGCACGUUGGCCACAAAGGCGCGCGCCGACUCGCGCGUGGCAAACGCGUGCUGGACGGCGAAUUGACACGUAAUGGCGUCGACGAUGCCCGCUCCGUCCCCGCCGUCGAGACCGCACUCUUGAUCGGGUACGGUGCGGUGGCGUUGCCCAUGGAGGCGCUGCGGGUCGUCGCGAUAAACGACGACCUGGCGGUGCGCCAGCAGGCCGUCGCGCACGCAAAAGUCGUCUUGCACAAACGCCGCCGGAAAGGCGAAUCGGGUCCGGCGCCACCUGCGCUCGGCCUCUACCAGUGGCUCGUCGGCCACGUCGACGAAAAACACGCAACGCGGUCGGGCGUGCGCCAGCUUGGCGACGUCCUGUCCACGACCGCACCCGAGAUCCAUGAUCGUGCAGUGGGGUUGCACAUAGCGCCCGAUGAGUACCGACUUGCAAAAGUUGAUUGCCCCGCGCGCGUCGCGUGACGGGUCACCGUCCGGCGGCAUACUCGACCCGCUCGCGGUCGCAGACGACAGUGACUCUGUUGCGCCAGAAGCGACCGAAGAUGACGACGUCGUUGUUGUAGCACUUGGAGCGCGUUGCGACAGCGUUGGCGUUGCGUCGACGCCCUGUCGCGCCUCGAUGGCGCGCCUAUUGUACCAGUGGCAAACACUGGCCGCCUCUGUCGACAUGGUGUCAACGGUGCGCGCCCGCGCCCCUUUAUCGGGCACGUACCGCUCCAAGACGCAUCGGCUCCUGUCGCCGUCUUCUUCGGUGGGGUUGCUCGACAGGGUGGAAUCGCUCUGCGCGUUGCCGGUGUCUCUGCGCGAGCGAUCUCGAUGUCUACGGGUGCGAUGACGAUGGCGACCGUGCGCCACGACGUCGGCAGACGAUCCGGCGCUCGACGAUCCGACACUGGAAGAAGAUGAGACGUCUUUGCCGCCCUUGUUGUUGCUGCUGCCGCUGCCAUGCGAAGGGUGUCUUGUGCGCGCGGGUGCGACGGCUCGGACCCGACCGCCUUCACUCGACCCCGAGCCAGAGAGGCUGUGCCGACCGGGCGGUCGCGUGCUCGGCGCGCAUCUCCAGCAUUUGGCGGCGGCGCCCCGGCACGUGGCGCACUCUUUGGUAGCGCCGUCGGCCGGCGUUGCGUCCGAUCGCCUCUCGCACGCCAUCAACAAAGCGCGCGCAGCCGCGUAGGAGGACGACGGCAACGGGACAGGAAAAAAAAGACCAACGACCCUUCAAUCUCUCUAGGGGAGAGAGGGAACACACAGGGGACGGUGACGGUGCGGCAGAUGGAGGCGGUGGGAAAAAAGAAAAGGACGGUCUCU
This 1624-nucleotide long non-coding RNA is filed under the name Pandoravirus neocaledonia. RNAcentral's name for it is "hypothetical ncRNA". The record is from RNAcentral.